RNAcentral lists this transfer RNA (71 nucleotides) under Lethrinus ornatus (ornate emperor). RNAcentral describes it as "tRNA-Ser". It matches the Rfam family "tRNA". Rfam says of the family: Transfer RNA (tRNA) molecules are approximately 80 nucleotides in length. Their secondary structure includes four short double-helical elements and three loops (D, anti-codon, and T loops). The record is from RNAcentral. RNAcentral also lists the same sequence under 5 other names. Lineage: Eukaryota; Metazoa; Chordata; Actinopteri; Spariformes; Lethrinidae.
AAGAAAGUGGCAGAAUGGCUAUGCGACUGGCUUGAAACCAGUCUAUGGGGGUUCGAAUCCUUCCUUUCUCG